This 1750-nucleotide long non-coding RNA is filed under the name Gallus gallus (chicken). Its description in RNAcentral is "long non-coding RNA NONGGAT005429". The record is from RNAcentral. Lineage: Eukaryota; Metazoa; Chordata; Aves; Galliformes; Phasianidae.
UGAGGCUGCAGCAUGACCUAAAUUGCAUCCACCGCCUUUAAAAUCCACUGGGCCAUAAGCAGCCAGCCAAGGACCCGUUCUGCCUGCAGAGCAUUCAGAUUAAUUGUCAAGAUUUCUAAAGGCUGCUUUGACCAUGAUUACUUCCUGUGAAUUUCACUGCAAGCAGAAGCAAAGCACAGUCAUGGCAAAACUGCAGAUUUCUCCAGGCUGGGCCGACACAUGAAUGUCUUCAAUGUGAAUUCAAGUAUUUGAGAGUUGCUGAGGUAAAGCCAGGCCCGAAGGUUGAGGACUGCUAUUUAUACCCCACUUGCCUGGACUCGGGCACGUCAGGCCAUGUGGGACAUCUCCCCUGUGCUGUGUGUUAAUGAUCCAGAGGAAUAUCACCAUCCAUUCUGCUAACGAUUCCCCUGGCAGCUGCUUGGGCAGUGCAGGCAAGGUGGCACUGCUGAUGAAAUCUGCUAUGUGCAGACUUCAGCUUGCAACAACACAGCACUGUUUCAACACUGAUGAGAGAUACUCAGGCUGACAUUCACAGGUAAUUGACUGUAUAAAGCCCACCAGUUUUUCAGAUCCAUGCUUUAUGUUUUUUCUUGUUCGCCUGCUCUAAAUGCAGUGUACAUUUCUACAUCACUCUGCAUCCAAGUGUUCCUGGUGUUUCCCCUGGGACAGCAAUAGAGGGAAAGUUUUGAGGAUCAGAGCAUCUCCUCCAUCAGACACAGCCUUGUCUCACCCUGAGUUGUGCCUCUACCACCAGCAGCUCCUGCUGUGUGUGUCGGAAUAGCUGAGCUCUGUAUACACCUAACUUAUGGAGCUGGAGCUUAUUAAAGCACCAGGUACUAUGGAUGUCACAGUGAACUACAAGAAGCGAUGGGGUGGCUGACUAUUGUGAACAAACAAAUGUCCACGGCGUUACUUUGGAAGUCAUGCAAAAGUAAAGGGACAGAACCUGUGCCACAGCUUUCAGCCAGGCUGUGCAUACUGCAGGGGGUGAGGUUGGCUGCAGGAGCUGAUCUGAUGCAGCCCAGUCAGUGAGGGACAAAAACAAAGGGAGAUGGGCCAUGAGUUUGCCAGCGGUGGUGUCCUAUGCAGCACACAGACAACGAGACAGUUUGGAAUCCCUCCCUCCAAACUCCAAACUGAGAAAAUUGAUGAAGCCUCCACAGACAGCAGUGUUUUUCUGAAUUAAGGCGAUGUGUCAGAAUGUCUCAUUAGCACCGCAUGGCAGAGGACAAUGUCUGUAUCCAAACCACUGAGUUGUACCUCAGCAUGCCCGCUAUCUCAGGGAGAGGUGAGGAAAGCAGAAAGGAGGAGCAGCUCAUUGCAUAGAGGUGUUUUAUCACCUCUUCUCUGCCCUUCCCCACUGAGCACAGAUACUCCCGGCCGCUCUUCGUUGUCUGUUUAAAUCACAUCAAUUUAAAAGGGUUACAAGAGGCUGCAUUUAAUCAAAGCAUUUGCUACGUCCAGGUCUCCUUGUCCCUCUCCUUUCCCAGAUGUAUCCAGAGAAUUAUCUCGUUGGAGACCCGUUUCCCCUCGAGGACCCAAGGGGAAUAUCCACUUAACAAUUAAAGAACAGUUGGAGCUAAGAGGAUGCUGGCAGCCCUGUCACCUCCUCAGAGCGGCCCAGCCCUGCCGUCGCCAUCUGCCCGCCCCACAGGGCUGAGCUCCCACAGCAGAGAUGGGCGUCGUGCUCAGAUACUCGCGGGAAGAUCUCAUCUGACGAUAUAAAACAACACAACAGACUUGGCCUCUU